Molecule: ribosomal RNA, 562 nt
Filed under: uncultured bacterium
Lineage: Bacteria
Description: bacterial SSU rRNA
Rfam family: Bacterial small subunit ribosomal RNA
Source: RNAcentral
UGGAUAGGGGUUCUGAGAGGAAGGUCCCCCACAUUGGAACUGAGACACGGUCCAAACUCCUACGGGAGGCAGCAGUGAGGAAUAUUGGUCAAUGGACGAGAGUCUGAACCAGCCAAGUAGCGUGAAGGAUGACUGCCCUAUGGGUUGUAAACUUCUUUUAUAUGGGAAUAAAAUGUUCCACGUGUGGGAUUUUGUAUGUACCAUAUGAAUAAGGAUCGGCUAACUCCGUGCCAGCAGCCGCGGUAAUACGGAGGAUCCGAGCGUUAUCCGGAUUUAUUGGGUUUAAAGGGAGCGUAGGUGGAUUGUUAAGUCAGUUGUGAAAGUUUGCGGCUCAACCGUAAAAUUGCAGUUGAAACUGGCAGUCUUGAGUACAGUAGAGGUGGGCGGAAUUCGUGGUGUAGCGGUGAAAUGCUUAGAUAUCACGAAGAACUCCGAUUGCGAAGGCAGCUCACUGGACUGCAACUGACACUGAGGCUCGAAAGUGUGGGUAUCAAACAGGAUUAGAUACCCUGGUAGUCCACACAGUAAACGAUGAAUACUCGCUGUUUGCGAUAUACAGUAA